CCCUACGGGGGGCAGCAGUGGGGGAUAUUGCACAAUGGGGGAAACCCUGAUGCAGCGGCGCCGCGUGGGUGAAGAAGCGCCUCGGCGCGUAAAGCCCUGUCAGCAGGGAAGAAAAUGACGGUACCUGAAGAAGAAGCCCCGGCUAACUACGUGCCAGCAGCCGCGGUAAUACGUAGGAGGCAAGCGUUAUCCGGAUUUACUGGGUGUAAAGGGGGCGCAGACGGCGAUGCAAGCUAGGAGUGAAAGCCCGGGGCCCAACCCCGGGACUGCUCUUGGAACUGCGUGGCUAGAGUGCAGGAGGGGCG
RNAcentral lists this ribosomal RNA (305 nucleotides) under uncultured bacterium. RNAcentral describes it as "bacterial SSU rRNA". It matches the Rfam family "Bacterial small subunit ribosomal RNA", at positions 337 to 659 of the family's 1533-position model. The record is from RNAcentral.